GCGGGUGUAGCUCAGGGGUAGAGCUCUAGCUUCCCAAGCUAGGAGUCGAGGGUUCGAAGCCCUUCACCCGCUCCA
Molecule: transfer RNA, 75 nt
Filed under: Candidatus Brocadiia bacterium
Lineage: Bacteria; Pseudomonadati; Planctomycetota; Candidatus Brocadiia
Description: tRNA-Gly
Rfam family: tRNA
About the family: Transfer RNA (tRNA) molecules are approximately 80 nucleotides in length. Their secondary structure includes four short double-helical elements and three loops (D, anti-codon, and T loops). Further hydrogen bonds mediate the characteristic L-shaped molecular structure. tRNAs have two regions of fundamental functional importance: the anti-codon, which is responsible for specific mRNA codon recognition, and the 3' end, to which the tRNAs corresponding amino acid is attached (by aminoacyl-tRNA synthetases). tRNAs cope with the degeneracy of the genetic code in two manners: having more than one tRNA (with a specific anti-codon) for a particular amino acid; and 'wobble' base-pairing, i.e. permitting non-standard base-pairing at the 3rd anti-codon position.
Source: RNAcentral